AAAUGAUAAAGGUAAACCCGCCGAAAGACGGGGGCGCAAAGCUAUGGGUCUAAGGCUUUAAGCUAUGACUGCCAAGCUGCCAUU
Molecule: non-coding RNA, 84 nt
Organism: Peptococcaceae bacterium CEB3
Lineage: Bacteria; Bacillati; Bacillota; Clostridia; Eubacteriales; Peptococcaceae
Source: Rfam